UACGUAGGGUGCAAGCGUUAAUCGGAAUUACUGAGCGUAAAGCGUGCGCAGGCGGUCCGUUAAGACAGAUGCGAAAUCCCCGGGCUUAACCUGGGAACUGCAUUUGUGACUGGCGGACUCGAGUAUGGCAGAGGGGGGUAGAAUUCCACGUGUAGCAGUGAAAUGCGUAGAGAUGUGGAGGAAUACCGAUGGCGAAGGCAGCCCCCUGGGCCCAAUACUGACGCUCAUG
RNAcentral lists this ribosomal RNA (229 nucleotides) under uncultured bacterium. RNAcentral describes it as "partial 16S ribosomal RNA". It matches the Rfam family "Bacterial small subunit ribosomal RNA", at positions 524 to 751 of the family's 1533-position model. The record is from RNAcentral.